This 259-nucleotide long non-coding RNA is filed under the name Phoenix dactylifera (date palm). RNAcentral describes it as "long non-coding RNA (PDAC_LNC008883)". Lineage: Eukaryota; Viridiplantae; Streptophyta; Magnoliopsida; Arecales; Arecaceae. The record is from RNAcentral.
GUAAUGUCCGGGCCCAAUACAGACCGGGCCCAAUACUGUAGGGCCCAGUUAAAUAGUAUUGGGCCAGGGAAGGGUUAGCAGGCCUUGCAGGCCCAAGAAGAGUAGGCUGCCAUCUCCCCGAGGGCUGAAAGGACAGUACCACCAGGUGGCCAACGGAGAGAACCCCCCACAGAGCAUGCACAACAGAAAACCGCCACCUCCUCCUUCCCUCGGCAGCCGAGCUGUGAGCUGGCCGGAAGGGGAGGGCAGCUGGUGGCUC